CUUUUAAAUAAGUAAGAGUUUUG
RNAcentral lists this ribosomal RNA (23 nucleotides) under Mycoplasma sp. RNAcentral describes it as "partial 23S ribosomal RNA". The record is from RNAcentral. Lineage: Bacteria; Bacillati; Mycoplasmatota; Mollicutes; Mycoplasmatales; Mycoplasmataceae.